AGAAUUUCUAGUGUAGAGGUGAAAUUCGUAGAUAUUAGAAAGAAUACCAAUUGCGAAGGCAGCUUUCUGGAUCAUUACUGACGCUGAGGAACGAAAGCAUGGGUAGCGAAGAGGAUUAGAUACCCUCGUAGUCCAUGCCGUAAACGAUGUGUGUUAGACGUUGGAAAUUUAUUUUCAGUGUCGCAGUGAAAGCGAUAAACACACCGCCUGGGGAGUACGACCGCAAGGUUAAAACUCAAAUGAAUUGACGGGGACCCGCACAAGUAGUGGAGCAUGUGGUUUAAUUCGAAGAUACGCGCAGAACCUUACCAACACUUGACAUGUUCGUCGCGACUCUAAGAGAUUAGAGUUUUCGGUUCGGCCGGACGAAACACAGGUGCUGCAUGGCUGUCGUCAGCUCGUGUCGUGAGAUGUUGGGUUAAGUCCCGCAACGAGCGCAACCCUCACUUUUAGUUGCCAUCAUUAAGUUGGGCACUCUGAAAGAACUGCCAGUGAUAAGCUGGAGGUAGGUGGGGAUGACGUCAAGUCCUCAUGGCCCUUACGUGUUGGGCUACACACGUGCUACAAUGGGUAUCUACAACAGGAAGCAAGACGGGCGACGUUAAGCAAAUCCUUAAAAGAUACCUCAGUUUCGGAUUGCACUCUGCAACUCGAGUGCAUGAAGCUGGGAAUUACUAGUAAUCGUGGAUCAGCGUGCCACGGUGAAUGCGUUCCCGGGGUCUUGUACACACCGCCCGUCACACCAUGGGGAGUUGGUUCUACCUUAAGGCAAGUUUUAAACCCUUGACCACGGUAUAGUCAGCGACUGGGGGUGAAGUC
RNAcentral lists this ribosomal RNA (819 nucleotides) under marine metagenome. RNAcentral's name for it is "bacterial SSU rRNA". It matches the Rfam family "Bacterial small subunit ribosomal RNA", at positions 663 to 1487 of the family's 1533-position model. The record is from RNAcentral.